GGGCAGGUGGCGGAACUGGCAGACGCGCGGGACUCAAAAUCCCGUUCCCGCAAUGGAGUGGGGGUUCAACUCCCCCCCUGCCCA
Candidatus Brennerbacteria bacterium is the source of this 84-nucleotide non-coding RNA. The record is from Rfam. NCBI's taxonomy places the organism in Bacteria, Candidatus Brenneribacteriota.